This 202-nucleotide long non-coding RNA is filed under the name Mytilus galloprovincialis (Mediterranean mussel). The record is from RNAcentral. Lineage: Eukaryota; Metazoa; Mollusca; Bivalvia; Mytilida; Mytilidae.
UGAGGGGGGAUAGGAGGGGUCCUGAUCCCGAAAUCCCGGGCUUAAAAACACGAUAUCCCGAAAUCCCGAACAUAAAAACAUGAAAUCCUGAGGUCCCGAAAUUCGAAAAAAAGAAUUCCCGGAUCCCGAAAGGGUCAAUCCCGAAAUCCCGAGCUUAAAAACACCCGAUCCUGGAGUCCCGAUAAAGGUCCUAUCCCCCCUC